Molecule: ribosomal RNA, 253 nt
Filed under: uncultured bacterium
Lineage: Bacteria
Description: partial 16S ribosomal RNA
Rfam family: Bacterial small subunit ribosomal RNA
Source: RNAcentral
UACGUAGGGUGCAAGCGUUAAUCGGAAUUACUGGGCGUAAAGCGUGCGCAGGCGGUUGUGCAAGACAGAUGUGAAAUCCCCGGGCUUAACCUGGGAACUGCAUUUGUGACUGCACGGCUAGAGUGUGUCAGAGGGGGGUAGAAUUCCACGUGUAGCAGUGAAAUGCGUAGAUAUGCGGAGGAACACCGAUGGCGAAAGCGGCCACCUGGACUGCACCUGACGCUGAGAAGCGAAAGCAUGGGGAGCGAACAGG